Molecule: ribosomal RNA, 253 nt
Filed under: uncultured bacterium
Lineage: Bacteria
Description: partial 16S ribosomal RNA
Rfam family: Bacterial small subunit ribosomal RNA
Source: RNAcentral
GACGAAGGGGGCUAGCGUUGUUCGGAAUUACUGGGCGUAAAGGGCGCGUAGGCGGUUCGUUAAGUCCUGUGUGAAAUCCCCCGGCUCAACUGGGGAACUGCACAGGAAACUAGCGGGCUUGAGUUCGGGAGAGGGAAGCGGAAUUCCGGGUGUAGCGGUGAAAUGCGUAGAUAUCCGGAGGAACACCGGUGGCGAAGGCGGCUUCCUGGACCGACACUGACGCUGAGGCGCGAAAGCUAGGGGAGCAAACGGG